GCUGGACUCCGGGCGGAGAGCCGGGGUAGUACGGAGGGAGCGGGAGUUGUUCGGAUUUACGUGGAGAUAAGCGUGGGUAGGCGGUUGUUCAAGUAAGAAGGGAAAGCCCUGGGCUCAACCCAGGAAUGGCUUUUGAAACUGGAUCACUAGAAUGUGGGAGAGGCAAGCAGAAUUCCGAGUGUAGAGGUGAAAUUCGUAGAUAUUCGGAGGAAUACCAAGGGCGUAGGCAGCUUGCUGGAACACUAUUGACGCUGAGACACGAAAGCAUGGGGAGCAAACAGGAUUAGAUACCCCUGUAGC
This 300-nucleotide ribosomal RNA is filed under the name uncultured bacterium. Its description in RNAcentral is "bacterial SSU rRNA". It matches the Rfam family "Bacterial small subunit ribosomal RNA", at positions 495 to 794 of the family's 1533-position model. The record is from RNAcentral.